Molecule: ribosomal RNA, 482 nt
Filed under: uncultured bacterium
Lineage: Bacteria
Description: bacterial SSU rRNA
Rfam family: Bacterial small subunit ribosomal RNA
Source: RNAcentral
AUUGAACGCUGGCGGAAUGCUUUACACAUGCAAGUCGAGCGGCAGCGCGGGGCAACCUGGCGGCGAGCGGCGAACGGGUGAGUAAUAUAUCGGAACGUGCCCAGUCGUGGGGGAUAACGCAGCGAAAGCUGUGCUAAUACCGCAUACGAUCUACGGAUGAAAGCGGGGGAUCGCAAGACCUCGCGCGAUUGGAGCGGCCGAUAUCAGAUUAGCUAGUUGGUGGGGUAAAAGCCCACCAAGGCGACGAUCUGUAGCUGGUCUGAGAGGGCGACCAGCCACACUGGAACUGAGACACGGUCCAGACUCCUACGGGAGGCAGCAGUGGGGAAUUUUGGACAAUGGGCGCAAGCCUGAUCCAGCAAUGCCGCGUGCAGGAUGAAGGCCUUCGGGUUGUAAACUGCUUUUGUACGGAGCGAAACGGCUCUCUUUAAUACAGGGGGCUAAUGACGGUACCGUAAGAAUAAGCACCGGCUAACUACGUG